UGCACUUACGUUAGUAUUGUUGGUGCGGUCAAUGCUCGUCAAGUCGGUCUUUAUCUGUCGUGAUACACGAUGGAGGUUGGAUUCAAUGCUCGUCAAGUCGGUCUCUAUCUGUCAUGAUACACGAUGGAGGUUGGAUUCAAUGCUCGUCAAGUCGGUCUCUAUCUGUCAUGAUACACGAUGGAGGUUGGAUUCAAAAUUCUAAUGGGAAAA
This 210-nucleotide long non-coding RNA is filed under the name Elaeis guineensis (African oil palm). Its description in RNAcentral is "long non-coding RNA (EGUI_LNC071720)". Lineage: Eukaryota; Viridiplantae; Streptophyta; Magnoliopsida; Arecales; Arecaceae. The record is from RNAcentral.